CCUACGGGUGGCAGCAGUGAGGAAUAUUGGUCAAUGGGCGCAAGCCUGAACCAGCCAAGCAGCGUGAAUGAUGACUGCUUUAUGGGUUGUAAACUUCUUUUAUAAGGGAAUAAACUGAGACACGCCUGCCUUUCUGCACGUACUUUAUGAAUAAGGAUCGGCUAACUCCGUGCCAGCAGCCGCGGUAAUACGGAGGGUUCGCGCGUUAUCCGGAUUUAUUGGGUGUAAAGGGAGCGUAGAUGGGUGGUUAAGUCAGUUGUGAAAGUUUGCGGCUCAACCCCAGAAUUGCAGGUGAUACUGGAUGGCUUGAGUACAGUUGAGGUAGGCGGAAUUCGUGGUGUAGCGGUGAAAUGCUUAGAGAUUAGGAAGAACACCGAUUGCGAAGGCAGCUUACUAAACUGCUACUGACGUUGAGGCUCGAAAGUGUGGGUAUCAAACAGGAUUAGAUACCCGUGUAGUC
This 460-nucleotide ribosomal RNA is filed under the name uncultured bacterium. RNAcentral's name for it is "partial 16S ribosomal RNA". It matches the Rfam family "Bacterial small subunit ribosomal RNA", at positions 338 to 795 of the family's 1533-position model. The record is from RNAcentral.